This is a long non-coding RNA of Pseudopipra pipra, 460 nucleotides long. RefSeq lists it as uncharacterized. NCBI's taxonomy places the organism in Eukaryota, Metazoa, Chordata, Aves, Passeriformes, Pipridae. The transcript is spliced from 2 exons. The record is from RefSeq and is a predicted model, not a curated record.
GGCGUGUCCAGUUCCGGGCCCCUCAGGACAGGAGGGACUUGGAGAUCCUGGAGCGGGCCGGGGGUGAUUGAGGGAAUGGAGCGUCUGUCUUGGGAGCAGAGGCUGAGGGAGCUGGGCCUGCGACAGGACAAGGAACAGUGGCCAUGAACUAAAACACUACAAGUUUCACCUCAACACAAGGAAGAACUUCUUUACGUUGAGGGUGGCAGAACACUGGAACAGAUUGUCUAGAGAAGGUGUGGAAUCUCCUCACUGGUGACAUUCCAGAAAAUCUGGACACGAUCCUGUGCCGUGUGCUCUGGGACGACCCUUCCUGAGCAGGGAGGUGGGACCAGAUGAGCCACUGUGGGCCCUUCCAACCUGACCCGUCCUGGGAUUCUGUAAAUACUUCCUUCCUUUUCAAGCCUUGAAGAUGAACAAUCUACAGAUCAAAUAUCUCCGAUAUCUGCGAUCACUGAAA